Molecule: non-coding RNA, 412 nt
Organism: Sus scrofa (pig)
Lineage: Eukaryota; Metazoa; Chordata; Mammalia; Artiodactyla; Suidae
Source: RefSeq, a predicted model, not a curated record
GCUCCCCUUGGGCCAAAACCGACUAAAAACCAGAAGGCAAGAGAGUCCAUUGACGUGGUCCCUACAGGUCAGCCACCUCGGGCCCACAACAGGGUGCAGAAGAAUGGAAGUAGGACCUGGAAGGGCAAACAGGAGAUGGUAUUUGGCGUGAAUCCCCAAAGAGGUCCUCCCUGCCUGCAUAAGGGAUGGUGAUCUCAACAUUCUGGGUCAGAACCAGCAGGAAUGUAUCCAGUUAAAGGGGAUUAGCCAUUUCCCCCAGCAAUGAUAAGCAGGGGUUAUACUGUGGCAGUCAGCUGUAAAUGGUGAGUGUUUGCUACCUCAAGUUCAUUCAGCUUUAUCCUUUGGGAUGCUCGAUAAAAUGUACAAAAUAGAGGAGUUCCCGUCGUGGCACAGUGGUUAACGAAUAAGGAAC